GCGGGAAUAGCUCAGUUGGUAGAGCCCCGGAUUGUGAUUCCGGUUGUCGCGGGUUCAAACCCCGUUUCUCGCCCCA
RNAcentral lists this transfer RNA (76 nucleotides) under Bathymodiolus thermophilus thioautotrophic gill symbiont. RNAcentral describes it as "tRNA-His-GTG". It matches the Rfam family "tRNA". Rfam says of the family: Transfer RNA (tRNA) molecules are approximately 80 nucleotides in length. Their secondary structure includes four short double-helical elements and three loops (D, anti-codon, and T loops). Lineage: Bacteria; Pseudomonadati; Pseudomonadota; Gammaproteobacteria. The record is from RNAcentral. RNAcentral also lists the same sequence under 16 other names.